GGCGUAAAGCGCACGCAGGCGGUCUGUUAAGUCAGAUGUGAAAUCCCCGGGCUUAACCUGGGAACUGCAUUUGAAACUGGCAGGCUUGAGUCUCGUAGAGGGGGGUAGAAUUCCAGGUGUAGCGGUGAAAUGCGUAGAGAUCUGGAGGAAUACCGGUGGCGAAGGCGGCCCCCUGGACGAAGACUGACGCUCAGGUGCGAAAGCGUGGGGAGCAAACAGGAUUAGAUACCCUGGUAGUCCACGCCGUAAACGAUGUCGACUUGGAGGUUGUGCCCUUGAGGCGUGGCUUCCGGAGCUAACGCGUUAAGUCGACCGCCUGGGGAGUACGGCCGCAAGGUUAAAACUCAAAUGAAUUGACGGGGGCCCGCACAAGCGGUGGAGCAUGUGGUUUAAUUCGAUGCAACGCGAAGAACCUUACCUGGCCUUGACAUCCAGAGAACUUAGCAGAGAUGCUUUGGUGCCUUCGGGAACUCUGAGACAGGUGCUGCAUGGCUGUCGUCAGCUCGUGUUGUGAAAUGUUGGGUUAAGUCCCGCAACGAGCGCAACCCUUAUCCUUUGUUGCCAGCGGCUCGGCCGGGAACUCACAGGAGACUGCCGGUGAUAAACCGGAGGAAGGUGGGGAUGACGUCUAGUCAUCAUGGCCCCUACGGCCAGGGCUACACACGUGCUAC
This 671-nucleotide ribosomal RNA is filed under the name Pantoea dispersa. Its description in RNAcentral is "bacterial SSU rRNA". It matches the Rfam family "Bacterial small subunit ribosomal RNA", at positions 557 to 1228 of the family's 1533-position model. Lineage: Bacteria; Pseudomonadati; Pseudomonadota; Gammaproteobacteria; Enterobacterales; Erwiniaceae. The record is from RNAcentral.